GUUCAGUUGCAUUAAAAAUACGCAACCACUCUAUUAGCAAAGAGUUGCUCUAGGAUAAGAAUGAGGUUGGACCCAAUAACUGUUAGGUGAGAGAUCCAAUGACGGUCUUGCACCUGCUUGUGAAUAGUGGGUCAGACUUAACUAAAAAGUGUGGGCAAUAACUGUUAGGUGAGCCCACAUAACUUAGAGAUCAAGUCGCUGUAAUAUACUUAGAGAAGUAUCUGAGCAAAGAGUUGCCUACGCAUCGGUGUAUAUGUUACCAAUAACUGUUAGGUGAGG
This 279-nucleotide long non-coding RNA is filed under the name Elaeis guineensis (African oil palm). RNAcentral's name for it is "long non-coding RNA (EGUI_LNC024756)". Lineage: Eukaryota; Viridiplantae; Streptophyta; Magnoliopsida; Arecales; Arecaceae. The record is from RNAcentral.